CAAAAAGUUGUUUUCCCCACCCAUCGCUUCCAUUCCAUUCUCUUUCCUUCGAGAGGAGGCAACCGGCGAAAACCGAAGAAAACUUUCAAGAAAACUUUCUUCUUGCUCUUCUCUUCUCGCUUUUCGUUUUUCCACCCACAAACAUAAACAAGAUUAAUUUCACAUGUUUUCCACGAAAUGAAGGAUGUUGGUGGGGCAGGGGACAAGAGAGGCAAUACGGGGGGGAGAGUGGGUUAGAAGUUAUUACUUUGAUUAUGUUUAUUCUAGUCAUGGAAAUCCGUUCGAAUGCCCGUUUCAUGUGCACUUCAUUUAAUAAGGCACCCAACCCAUUCCUUCCCCAUUCGUGGAGGGAUGCCGCGAAUACUCGCAGAUACAUUCCUUGGCAUUUUUGUCUGCUGCUGUUUCUACUUUUGUGUGAUUAGCCAAGUGAAAAAACAAGAGAUUAGGCGCGACAAACUAUUUUCAAACUUCAUUUGCGACACUCGAAUGGAGGAAUCCACAGCUCCCGCUUCACUCUUGAAAGUUCUUUAAGUACUGGAGGUGUGUGCACCCACAACAAAAUACGAAUAAGUCUUCCCUGAGAUACAUUUUGCCAUAACGUCUUGAAUGGCAGAUUCGAGUAACUUUAGUGGACAUUUGGGGGAAGCUUCUGAGUCGCUUUUUGGAGUGGAAUUUGACUGCUUCUGAAGAUUCUUCCUCUAGUAUACCUUCACUUCCCCAAUUUAAUCUCUCUUCAGUCAAUUUAGGUCACUUUAUGCUGAAGGAUGCCGCGUCAAAUCGCCCGUCAGUGAUCGACAGAAUCAUCGUCUAAGAUCUCUCCCCCUCUCUUUCUCUGCCAAUUUGCUGGGAAAAUUGGCCAACAUCCAAUGUGUUCCACUGCAUAAGCCACAGCAGACCGAACAGCACGCGCAUAAGUAUCUCUAUCUCUAUCUGUAUUUCUGGGGCUGGCAGUAUCUUUGGUGCAGGCAAUCUCCGUCUCCGUUGGCGACUCUUAAGUGCUUUUAAUUUCUGGUGUGUCCACUUAAGUCUCAAUAUCGCCCGACGCCAACAGCUUCCGAAGCGAGC
This 1065-nucleotide long non-coding RNA is filed under the name Drosophila guanche. Lineage: Eukaryota; Metazoa; Arthropoda; Insecta; Diptera; Drosophilidae. The record is from RNAcentral.